UACGGGGGGGGCAAGCGUUGUUCGGAAUUACUGGGCGUAAAGGGCUCGUAGGCGGCCAACUAAGUCAGACGUGAAAUCCCUCGGCUUAACCGAGGAAGUGCAUUCGAAACUACUGGACUUGAAUACUGGAGAGGAUCGCGGAAUUCCCGGUGUAGAGGUGAAAUUCGUAGAUAUCGGGAGGAACACCAGUGGCGAAGGCGGCGAUCUGGACAGAUAUUGACGCUGAGGUGCGAAAGCGUGGGGAGCAAACAGG
This 253-nucleotide ribosomal RNA is filed under the name uncultured bacterium. RNAcentral describes it as "partial 16S ribosomal RNA". It matches the Rfam family "Bacterial small subunit ribosomal RNA", at positions 524 to 776 of the family's 1533-position model. The record is from RNAcentral.